This 904-nucleotide ribosomal RNA is filed under the name uncultured bacterium. RNAcentral describes it as "bacterial SSU rRNA". It matches the Rfam family "Bacterial small subunit ribosomal RNA", at positions 8 to 916 of the family's 1533-position model. The record is from RNAcentral.
AGAGUUUGAUCCUGGCUCAGGACGAACGCUGGCGGCGUGCCUAAUACAUGCAAGUCGAGCGGGGUCACCACAGGUGGCAACACCGGUGGUGACCGAGCGGCGAACGGGUGAGUAACACGUGAGGAACCUGCCCCGAAGACCGGGAUACGCCGGGGAAACCUGGUCUAAUACCGGAUGCCCUCCUUGGAUCGCAUAGUCCGAGGAGGAAAUGGAUUCCGCUUCGGGAGGGCCUCGCGGCCUAUCAGCUUGUUGGUGAGGUAACGGCUCACCAAGGCAGCGACGGGUAGCUGGUCUGAGAGGACGAUCAGCCACACUGGGACUGAGACACGGCCCAGACUCCUACGGGAGGCAGCAGUAGGGAAUCUUGCGCAAUGGGCGAAAGCCUGACGCAGCAACGCCGCGUGGGGGAUGAAGGCUCUCGGGUUGUAAACCCCUUUCAGCAGGGACGAACACUGACGGUACCUGCAGAAGAAGCCCCGGCCAACUACGUGCCAGCAGCCGCGGUAAUACGUAGGGGGCAAGCGUUGUCCGGAUUUAUUGGGCGUAAAGAGCUCGUAGGCGGCUCGGUAAGUCGGAUGUGAAACCUCCAGGCUCAACCUGGAGACGCCAUCUGAUACUGCCGUGGCUCGAGGCCGGUAGAGGAGCAGGGAAUUCCUGGUGUAGCGGUGAAAUGCGCAGAUAUCAGGAGGAACACCAGCGGCGAAGGCGCUGCUCUGGGCCGGUACUGACGCUGAGGAGCGAAAGCGUGGGGAGCGAACAGGAUUAGAUACCCUGGUAGUCCACGCCGUAAACGUUGGGCACUAGGUGUGGGACCCCAUCGACGGGUUCUGUGCCGUAGCUAACGCAUUAAGUGCCCCGCCUGGGGAGUACGGGCCGCAAGGCUAAAACUCAAAGGAAUUGACGG